Molecule: ribosomal RNA, 383 nt
Filed under: uncultured bacterium
Lineage: Bacteria
Description: partial 16S ribosomal RNA
Rfam family: Bacterial small subunit ribosomal RNA
Source: RNAcentral
ASGAUGAACGCCGGCGGUGCGCCCUAAUACAUGNAAGUCGAACGCGUUGGCCCAACGUGAUUGRACGUGCUUGCACGGGACUUGACGUUGGUUUAACCAGCGAGUGGCGGACGGGUGAGUAACNCGUAGGUAACNUGCCCAAAAGSGGGGGAUAACAUUUGGAAACAGAUGCUAAUCCCGCAUAACAAUUUGAAUCGCAUGAUUCAAAUUUAAAAGNUGGUUUCGGCUAUCUCUUUGGGGUGGCCUGCGGCGCAUUGGGUUGUUGGUAGGGUAACGGCCUACAAAGGUUGUGAUGCGUAGCCGAGUUGAGGCUGAUCGGCCACAUGGCUGGCACGGUCCCAUACUCUACGGGGGCCGCAGUGGGAAUUUCCACAAUGGGYGCA